GCAGCGAUGAUCUGGAGGCAGCGGGCCCCUGGCAGGUGCUUUAUAGCCCCGCUCCGCCGCGUCACGGCCACGCUCCGCCCCGCAGCGUGGAGCCCCGCAGGGGAAACAUCGGGGCUCGGGCACGCGUGGAGGGGAAGGGGGGAAGGAGGCGGCAUCCCGUGGGUCCGCCCCACUGCGGGGAGGCACCGUCCUGCAGCUCGGCUCCGGCCCCAAGCUUCGAACACCGUGUGGUUCCCGUCCCGCACGGGGAUGGUGCGGGGAGAAAUUCCCCCGCCGGGGAUGCUCGGAGCGUGGGGCAGUGAGACACGCUGCUCUGCGUGUGUGCAACUGGGUUGGUUUGCCGUAGGGGUUGGUGGAGAUGAGUCCCGAGUUGGGAUGGAUCCCACGCGUGCUGCAGGUGGAGGCAGAAGCAGUUUGCAGGCGCUGCCGGCAGAUGGAGCGGGAGCGGUGCCCUCAGAACGGCCCCGUACUGCUCUCCCAUCCCGCGUAUUGGGCUUCCCGCAGCUUCCCCAUAGACUGACCCCGGGCUGCCGCAGCCCUUGGGGCACGAGAAAUUAAAAUAACCCCCCAAAAGAAUAAUAAACAACUGGGAAACUGCCCUGGGAGGAACCCCCGGGGGCAUCGCGUGGGCCAGAAGCAGCUCCUGGCUGCACGGCCCUUGGGAAUGGCGUGGGAUUGGGACCUGCAAAAGCAGGUCAAGAGGCAAAAAAACACGGACACAAACUGCUCCUGCACUUGACUUUCUCAAGGCUUCUUAGGAAAGGGAGUGUGUUUUCAUCUGUUUACGACGAGCUGUUUUAUAGUGUUUUUAUUGCGCGGGAAAGGAUUUAUUAUCGGGAAAGGAUGCGAGGUGGUGUGUGUUAAUGUGAUUCGGUGUGAGGUCCAAUACAAAGUGUGGAGCACAGCGGAGGAGUGGGAAGAGAAACAAGAAAAAUGAAAUGGGCCGGAGUGAGGAGAACUGAUUUUAUCUGAGUGAUGAGUUCUGCUGGCUGCAUCUCGUGGAAGGAAAAUGGGUUGGGAUUGCAUUCCUGCAAGCAAUAGUGAGAGGUUUUAACAUCUACACUGACCACGCAGCAGGGAAAUACCCUGCUGCGUUGAGCAGGCACAAACCUGACCAGCAUGUGUGGGGAUGUUUGGCACCAGUGCUUCAAAGGAAUACAUUGUUCACUCCGCUGUAAAGAAUUCCAGGCAGACAUGACGAAAGGGACAUUGCAGCUCAAGAAAAGAGACGUCCCGUGCAGCAUUGAUGAAACGCUGUUUGGAAACCAGGAACGAGCAAACAGGAAAGCUCUUUAACCAUUGAGGAGAUAGGAUCCCAGCAUGUUUUUGGCACCGACGGGAACAAUGGGGUGAUGUCACAAGCCAGAAUUCCCCACGGUGGAUGGAAGCCCAGCAAAUAAUCAUAAUUCUUUCUUGGUACAUUAGUGAAAUUUUUCCACCAUUGGUCAUCCCCCACUGAGUCCCUGUUAGGAAGUAUAGGAAGGAGACAUUGUCAAAUGGAGUUUCCUUUGGGAGAACCGUGUCUCCCCUCCCCAUCAGCUGUUAUAAAUCACGGCUUUCUGCUGACUACAAGAAAUUCCAGCAGAGCAGCUCUUGCUGCCUAAGCAGUGCUUUGCCCCAUAAGGAAGGGUGCACAAGGAGGUCUGGAUUCCUCUAGGGCAGAAGCAUCAUUUGCUGUCCAGCACUUUCAGCCUACACAGCAUCAGUACAGAGCUUUGUCUUUAUAGUUUCAGAAGUGCUGAGAAUGGCAGGGAGCUUAGAAGACACCAUCCUGGCCAAACAUUGUGGUUUGGAGAGUUUCAGCCUGUGGAAUGCUACCAAAUUGUAUGAGCAAUGCUACAGCAUCCUUCAAAUCCUAACUUCACAUUUUUAUUUUGGCUUCAAACCCAUGGAGAGUGACCUGAAGUGUACCUGAAGCACCUUGGUGCUUCAGUAUUGGUAAACCCUCAAUAUUUGUUAUCUCCAUCACAUGAGACCCCAACAUUUGGGGGACCCCAGUCCUCCGGGACUUCUGUAUUUGGUGGCUCCAGUUUUUGAAUCCCAACAUUUGGGACCUCCACAUUUGGAGAUGUGGACAUUUUGGAAGUCACUCAUUUGGCCUUCCAAUAUGGGUAAAAUCAGUGGUUGAGACCUCAAUAUUUAGGGGGAUCCUCCUUUUUCUGAAGCAGCUCUGGAACUCCCCUGGCUUCUUUUUUUGGAUAAAGGCUAGACCCACUAUGUAACUGGGGUUGCUAAUCCAUCCUCCCAGGUGGUGACAGCACUGGAACAUUAUUGGGCUGUUGCUCAAGAUCCAAGCAACUCCCACCUUUCCAAAAUUUGCUCUGCAAGCACCUGGUUAUACUCUGUGUGCAGCACACCAACUCCAGGCUGUGACUUUCCUUUUUUUGUGUGUGUGACCAUUGGUGUUAGUAGAAGGGUGGGGUAGAACUGCCUGUUUGAGUUGAGAUGGGAUUUCUCGUUCAACAGCAAAAUGGACAUUAAUGAGUCUAAACCAAAAAGAAGCAUUAAGACCUGAGUGCCUGCAUGGUCUACUGACAAUGGAUUUGUCCUUGUUCUAUUUUUGUCUGUGGUUUGCAUUAUCAGCACCCAAAUGUAGCAUGUGGGGUUGUUUACCCCAGUCCCAAUCUUGGUGUGUUCUCCCCAACCUAGGAGAUUCCAGAGACCCUCAGAUACACAGAGAGGGGCAGCCUGGCCUCAGACAUUGGGUCUGCCAUUGGAAACUGCUUGAGAUGCUCUGCUGCCCACGUGCCCCCAUAUGACCAGGUGGGCAGAAAUCCCUCAGGAAGGCGAUGGAAGGAGGAUGAAGCUUGCUGCUUCUAUCCUUCCCAGGAAGGAAGAUGCUUCUCCACUGUAACUAGAGAUCUUAAGAUAUCACUGGGUUGUGGCAAUGGUGGACCUUCAUGGGACGGCGGUCAGGCAGAAGGAGCACCUGAAACAUUGCAACUCAGAAUGCUGAGAAUGAAAAUGUAAGGGAAAAAAUUGCCUCUUGGGCCAGUCUGAGCCAAUUCCAGGAAUGGGCCAGCUAAACUGAGGAUAUUGUGAAUGUAGGGACUUGUGAUUGGCUUUGGAAAGCACUUGAACAUUACGGAUUGUGGCUCUCCUACUCCAUCAGGCUCCCACCUACAGUGAGAGCAGACUACUGGUAGGACUUGUCCCCAUCAGCAUCCCCUGCUCGUCCCCAAAGGGGCACAGAUCUGAUGUAGGCUGUUUUUAUCACUCUUAUUAUGAAGUUGAAUAAAUGUGCUGUUGAUGAUGCCCUGCCUCUACUACAGCAGCUCCAGCAGGGAGAUGCCCUAUUGAAAACUUGCAGUUCUCCCACAUCAAGAUUUGCUGAUCCUUUUCAGCACUGUUCACUCCUUUCAAAAAUUCUGAAGGCUGUGAACCCAUUGUAUUCCUUCCUUACAGCCUGGGAAGCAAAAGCACGUUCACCUUUUUUUUUCUAUGGAUGGAAAAAUUGUGCCAGAGGGGAAUGUUUGAACAUAAGAAAUUUUUUUUAUGGAGUUAAAUUGAAUGACAAUUACAAAUCUGUCCUGUGUGCCUGUCUGAUUGCAUAUUUUCUCUGCCCAAAGGGCAAGAAAAGAAAAGUGCAGUGUGUGUUUAGACAACCCAUGGAGACAUUCCUCGUACGUUGGGUGUUCAUUGGAACACUUUAACAUGGAUGUCUGCAUUUACUCCACCCUGAUGGCUGAACUUCUUCAGAACGAUGAGUGACCUGGAAUUUAUAAUUACAAUAGGUGUAAUGCAAUUAAUCACCACCUCGGAGCUGUCUUCCAUCGCUAGCUGCUUGAUGAUACCACUCCUUUGUAGCAAGUGCAGAAGAAUAGCUUGUGUAAAGUUGCUCUUUCCAGCUGAGACAAGUUCAGAGGGGUUCCUACCACCCGGACAGGCGCAGAGAUCCCUUUCUGCUCUUCUGCAACAGCUGCUUUCUGCAAAUGCCAAGGUGUUCCAGAUUGCAGACACAGCAGUGUAUGUGCUGGGCUGUACCAGCUGAUGACACGUCUGCUUGAAGGCCUCUUUAAGCAGCUAGUUUCUGUUUGGACAGAAGCUUUUACUUCUUCCACAUUGGAAUGAAUAAAAAGACAUUCUUUUU
Molecule: non-coding RNA, 4090 nt
Organism: Meleagris gallopavo (turkey)
Lineage: Eukaryota; Metazoa; Chordata; Aves; Galliformes; Phasianidae
Source: RefSeq, a predicted model, not a curated record